UACGUAGGGUGCAAGCGUUAUCCGGAAUUAUUGGGCGUAAAGCGCACGUAGGCGGCUUUGUAAGUUAGAGGUGAAAGCCCGGGGCUCAACCCCGGAAUUGCCUUUAAGACUGCAUCGCUUGAACGUCGGAGAGGUGAGUGGAAUUCCGAGUGUAGAGGUGAAAUUCGUAGAUAUUCGGAAGAACACCAGUGGCGAAGGCGGCUCACUGGACGACUGUUGACGCUGAGGUGCGAAAGCGUGGGGAGCAAACAGG
RNAcentral lists this ribosomal RNA (253 nucleotides) under uncultured bacterium. RNAcentral describes it as "partial 16S ribosomal RNA". It matches the Rfam family "Bacterial small subunit ribosomal RNA", at positions 524 to 776 of the family's 1533-position model. The record is from RNAcentral.